Molecule: long non-coding RNA, 604 nt
Organism: Daphnia carinata
Lineage: Eukaryota; Metazoa; Arthropoda; Branchiopoda; Diplostraca; Daphniidae
Exons: 4
Source: RefSeq, a predicted model, not a curated record
UUUUAUGCAGUGUAAUCUGUGCUUCUUGUAUAUUAAGUUAGUGGACUAUGGAAUGCUGAAGAGUCAUAUGUGACUGGAAAUCUUCUUGACUGCAUAAAUUGGCCAGAUUGCAUUGGAGAGUCGAUUUUCGAAACCGGAACAUGGAUAUGUAUUUGCCAGUACAGGUCAUCUUACCCAUGAUUGCGCCCACCGUUAGUCUGUGAUAACCUAAGCUGUCCCUCAUCAUCGGAAAUUUUCUGCCAAUGGAACAAACGGUGAAGGAGCCGAGUAAUGAAAUGCACAGGAAAUCCAGGUAAUUAACCAGACCAUUAAAGUCCUGUUACUGUUGAAAAUCAACAGAACUACAGCCGAUUCUGUUACGGAUUUUAUGGCAAACUGAUUGCAACGGGGCUUUAAUGAAUUCGGGCAAAAAACCACAGCACACUUAAAGAAACAAAUAAUUCAAAGCAAAGAAAUCUAUUGCAACAUGUUUACAUGAUUACAAUAAUCAUACUAUUUCACAGAGAUUAUAUUUGAUUGCAGAUCGUGUGGAAAUCAAUAAACCUCAACGAAUCAAGUGCCGAUUUCUUCCGCUCCUCAGAAGUGUAAAGAAUCUACUUUGAAC